UUGUAUCUGGUCUAGUUAAAAUAUUUAAAAAGUUCUAAGCUAAAAAUAUUAAAUAUUUUAACUAGACCAGAU
This is a non-coding RNA of Paramuricea clavata, 72 nucleotides long. The record is from the annotation of a GenBank genome assembly. Lineage: Eukaryota; Metazoa; Cnidaria; Anthozoa; Malacalcyonacea; Plexauridae.